UCCUCGGUAGCUCAAUGGCAGAGCGGGUGGCUGUUAACCACUAGGUUGCAAGUUCAAAUCUUGCCCGGGGAGCCA
This 75-nucleotide transfer RNA is filed under the name Desulfobacteraceae bacterium. RNAcentral describes it as "tRNA-Asn". It matches the Rfam family "tRNA". Rfam says of the family: Transfer RNA (tRNA) molecules are approximately 80 nucleotides in length. Their secondary structure includes four short double-helical elements and three loops (D, anti-codon, and T loops). The record is from RNAcentral. Lineage: Bacteria; Pseudomonadati; Thermodesulfobacteriota; Desulfobacteria; Desulfobacterales; Desulfobacteraceae.